RNAcentral lists this ribosomal RNA (465 nucleotides) under Vreelandella stevensii. RNAcentral's name for it is "partial 16S ribosomal RNA". It matches the Rfam family "Bacterial small subunit ribosomal RNA", at positions 338 to 795 of the family's 1533-position model. The record is from RNAcentral. Lineage: Bacteria; Pseudomonadati; Pseudomonadota; Gammaproteobacteria; Oceanospirillales; Halomonadaceae.
CCUUCGGGUGGCAGCAGUGGGGAAUAUUGGACAAUGGGGGGAACCCUGAUCCAGCCAUGCCGCGUGUGUGAAGAAGGCCCUCGGGUUGUAAAGCACUUUCAGUGAGGAAGAACGCCUGGUGGUUAAUACCCAUCAGGAAAGACAUCACUCACAGAAGAAGCACCGGCUAACUCAGUGCCAGCAGCCGCGGUAAUACGGAGGGUGCGAGCGUUAAUCGGAAUUACUGGGCGUAAAGCGCGCGUAGGUGGCUUGAUAAGCCGGUUGUGAAAGCCCCGGGCUCAACCUGGGAACGGCAUCCGGAACUGUCAAGCUAGAGUGCAGGAGAGGAAGGUAGAAUUCCCGGUGUAGCGGUGAAAUGCGUAGAGAUCGGGAGGAAUACCAGUGGCGAAGGCGGCCUUCUGGACUGACACUGACACUGAGGUGCGAAAGCGUGGGUAGCAAACAGGAUUAGAUACCCUUGUAGUC